Molecule: ribosomal RNA, 253 nt
Filed under: uncultured bacterium
Lineage: Bacteria
Description: partial 16S ribosomal RNA
Rfam family: Bacterial small subunit ribosomal RNA
Source: RNAcentral
UACGUAGGGCGCAAGCGUUGUCCGGAAUUAUUGGGCGUAAAGAGCUCGUAGGCGGCUUGUCGCGUCUGUUGUGAAAGCCCGGGGCUUAACCCCGGGUCUGCAGUGGAUACGGGCAGGCUAGAGGCAGGUAGGGGAGAACGGAAUUCCUGGUGUAGCGGUGAAAUGCGCAGAUAUCAGGAGGAACACCGGUGGCGAAGGCGGGUCUCUGGGCCGAUACUGACGCUGAGGAGCGAAAGCGUGGGGAGCGAACAGG